AAAAGCAGGGGAUCGAAAGACCUUGCGCUUAAGGAGCGGCUGAUGUCUGAUUAGCUAGUUGGUGGGGUAAAAGCUUACCAAGGCAACGAUCAGUAGCUGGUCUGAGAGGACGACCAGCCACACUGGGACUGAGACACGGCCCAGACUCCUACGGGAGGCAGCAGUGGGGAAUUUUGGACAAUGGGCGAAAGCCUGAUCCAGCCAUGCCGCGUGAGUGAAGAAGGCCUUCGGGUUGUAAAGCUCUUUUAGUCGGAAAGAAAGAGUCAUAGUAAAUAGCUAUGAUUUAUGACGGUACCGACAGAAAAAGCACCGGCUAACUACGU
Molecule: ribosomal RNA, 323 nt
Filed under: uncultured beta proteobacterium
Lineage: Bacteria; Pseudomonadati; Pseudomonadota; Betaproteobacteria
Description: bacterial SSU rRNA
Rfam family: Bacterial small subunit ribosomal RNA
Source: RNAcentral